GACGAACGCUGGCGGCGUGCUUAACACAUGCAAGUCGAACGAAGAGCGAUGGAAGCUUGCUUCUAUCAAUCUUAGUGGCGAACGGGUGAGUAACGCGUAAUCAACCUGCCCUUCAGAGGGGGACAACAGUUGGAAACGACUGCUAAUACCGCAUACGAUCUAAUCUCGGCAUCGAGGAUAGAUGAAAGGUGGCCUCUACAUGUAAGCUAUCACUGAAGGAGGGGAUUGCGUCUGAUUAGCUAGUUGGAGGGGUAACGGCCCACCAAGGCGAUGAUCAGUAGCCGGUCUGAGAGGAUGAACGGCCACAUUGGGACUGAGACACGGCCCAGACUCCUACGGGAGGCAGCAGUGGGGAAUCUUCCGCAAUGGACGCAAGUCUGACGGAGCAACGCCGCGUGAGUGAUGACGGCCUUCGGGUUGUAAAGCUCUGUUAAUCGGGACGAAAGGCCUUCUUGCGAACAGUUAGAAGGAUUGACGGUACCGGAAUAGAAAGCCACGGCUAACUACGUG
RNAcentral lists this ribosomal RNA (510 nucleotides) under uncultured bacterium. RNAcentral's name for it is "partial 16S ribosomal RNA". It matches the Rfam family "Bacterial small subunit ribosomal RNA", at positions 28 to 507 of the family's 1533-position model. The record is from RNAcentral.